This 74-nucleotide transfer RNA is filed under the name Gulosibacter sp. 10. It matches the Rfam family "tRNA". From Rfam's summary of the family: Transfer RNA (tRNA) molecules are approximately 80 nucleotides in length. The record is from Rfam by way of RNAcentral. RNAcentral also lists the same sequence under 1 other name. Lineage: Bacteria; Bacillati; Actinomycetota; Actinomycetes; Micrococcales; Microbacteriaceae.
CGGGACUUAGCUCAGCUUGGUAGAGCGCUCGCUUUGGGAGCGAGAAGUCGCAGGUUCAAAUCCUGUAGUCCCGA